Molecule: ribosomal RNA, 253 nt
Filed under: uncultured bacterium
Lineage: Bacteria
Description: partial 16S ribosomal RNA
Rfam family: Bacterial small subunit ribosomal RNA
Source: RNAcentral
GAUCAUGGCUCAGAUUGAACGCUGGCGGCAGGCUUAACACAUGCAAGUCGAACGGUAACAGGGAUUAGCUUGCUAAUUUGCUGACGAGUGGCGGACGGGUGAGUAAUGCUUGGGAAUCUGGCUUAUGGGAGGGGGAUAACUACGGGAAACUGUAGCUAAUACCGCGUAAUAUCGGAAGAUUAAAGGGUGGGACUUUCGGGCCACCUGCCAUAAGAUGAGCCCAAGUGGGAUUAGGUAGUUGGUUAGGUAAAGG